Caenorhabditis elegans is the source of this 133-nucleotide non-coding RNA. The record is from Ensembl. Lineage: Eukaryota; Metazoa; Nematoda; Chromadorea; Rhabditida; Rhabditidae.
UUUCAAACCAUCAUAAAUAAACCCCCAAGGAGAAAAGGGGAGAAAACGGAAUUGAAACGUGUGUAUUUGUAUGUAUACAUUCUUUGUCUAAGGUUAUGUAUAUAUUUUUUCUUCUUUUGCCGUCUUCGCCUUC